RNAcentral lists this unclassified non-coding RNA (280 nucleotides) under Hevea brasiliensis (rubber tree). Lineage: Eukaryota; Viridiplantae; Streptophyta; Magnoliopsida; Malpighiales; Euphorbiaceae. The record is from RNAcentral.
GCACUUCCUCAGUUCCUCCAUUUACAUCCCUUAUCUUCUCAGAUAGAGAAGCUUGAUCAGAGACAGUACUUUCACUCCCUAUAAGUUCGGAAGGAUCAAAAGUUAGGUUGUCAUCACUAGCAUCAAAGAAAUUGAGGUACUCAUCAACCAUGUCAAAAACUGUAGAAUCUCCAGCAGAGUCUGGCUCCACAGGAUUCGACAGAUCAUUGGCCUCCAGGAAAAAUCCUUCGCUGAAUGGAGGAUUGCCAAUAGCAUCCAAGAAUGGCUCAUCAAGCAGGAA